UCCUACGGGAGGCAGCAGUGGGGUAUUUUCCGCAAUGGGCGAAAGCCUGACGGAGCAAUACAGCGUGAGGGAAGACUGCCUAUGGGUUGUAAACCUCUUUUUUCAGGGAGGAAUAAAUGACGUGUACCUGAAGAAUAAGCAUCGGCUAACUCCGCGCCAGCAGCCGCGGUAAGACGGAGGAUGCAAGUGUUAUCCGGAAUCACUGGGCGUAAAGCGUCUGUAGGUGGUUUAAUAAGUCAACUGUUAAAUCUUGAGGCUCAACUUCAAAAUCGCAGUCGAAACUAUUAGACUAGAGUAUAGUAGAGGUAAAGGGAAUUUCCAGUGGAGCGGUGAAAUGCGUAGAUAUUGGAAAGAACACCGAUGGCGAAAGCACUUUACUGGGCUAUUACUAACACUCAGAGACGAAAGCUAGGGUAGCAAAUGGGAUUAGAUACCCCAGUAGUCCUAGCCGUAAACAAUGGAUACUAGAUGUUGAACAGAUCGACCUGUGCAGUAUCAAAGCUAACGCGUUAAGUAUCCCGCCUAGGAAGUAUGCUCGCAAGAGUGAAACUCAAAGGAAUUGACGGA
RNAcentral lists this ribosomal RNA (567 nucleotides) under uncultured bacterium. RNAcentral describes it as "bacterial SSU rRNA". It matches the Rfam family "Bacterial small subunit ribosomal RNA", at positions 337 to 917 of the family's 1533-position model. The record is from RNAcentral.